GAUGAAGAACGUAGCGAAUUGCGAUAUGUAAUGUGAAUUGCAGAAUUCAGUGAAUCAUCGAAUCUUUGAACGCACAUUGCGCCCCCUGGUAUUCCGGGGGGCAUGCCUGUUCGAGCGUCAUUACAACCCUCAAGCUCUGCUUGGUAUUGGGCCCCGCCAGUUCUGGCGGGCCCUAAAGUCAGUGGCGGUGCCUUCCGGCUCCGAGCGUAGUAAUUCUUCUCGCUCUGGAGACCCGGUUGUGUGCUUGCCAACAACCCCCAAUUUUUUAAGGUUGACCUCGGAUCAGGUAGGGAUACCCGCUGAACUUAAGCAUAUCAAUAAGCGGAGGA
Molecule: unclassified non-coding RNA, 329 nt
Filed under: soil metagenome
Description: partial contains 5.8S ribosomal RNA, internal transcribed spacer 2, and large subunit ribosomal RNA
Rfam family: 5.8S ribosomal RNA (bases 1-120)
Source: RNAcentral